Long non-coding RNA from Equus caballus (horse), 3234 nucleotides. Lineage: Eukaryota; Metazoa; Chordata; Mammalia; Perissodactyla; Equidae. The record is from Ensembl.
GGCUCACCCUGAAGGGGAGGGAGGGGGCACAGGCUCACCCUGAAGGGGAGGGAGAAGGGACAGGCUCACCCUGACGGGGAGAUACACGCAGGGCCCAGACCUGAGGGCAGCAGGUGAGGGGCCGGGAAGGGAGCUAGCGACAGGAGAAGGCGAAGACCUGCGUCCUGUUUCUGCAGUGGGUUGAUCAGUGCCCCGCCCCCCGGGAACUGGAGCUGUCUGUCACUAGCCUGCACGUCUCAGACCCUGAAAGCUCCAUUCCCAGUCCUUAGUGAUCCUCUCCUGGUGAUGCCAGGUCCGUUACCGGGCACCUUCCUGGGGUGACAGUACGCUGCUCCAGCCCCUCCAGGGUUUCAGACACAGUCAGAAGUCAAGAAGCAGCGAAAUUCUGCAGCAGUAGGGGGAGAAUUGUUUUUUUCUAAGGGAAAUGAAUAUAGUUUUCAGGACGUAGACAAGGGUCUUUGGCUGGCGUUGGUAACUCGCGUGGUUCGUUCCCCGGCCCUCUCCCUUGUCUGUGUACUUUCCUUCAGGAAGCAGCGUUGCCAAGCCCUGUGCUGGGGAGCUGAUCCCGACCCUGAAGGAGCCCAGACCACGGAGAGAGAGAAGUAGCCACGAACGGAACUGAAGACAGUUCAUAACGCUGUGAUAGAGGACGACGGACACCUUGCUGUGGGGCCACUUAAAAUGUAUUCUUUAAAAACAUCAGUCAACAUUUCACUUUGCUCAAAACCCUGUAAAGGAUUUCCGUUUCACUCAGUGAGAGCCAAAGUUCUUCCAAUGGAAAAGUCCCUACACGGUCUGGCUUCCUCCUCCUCCUGUUAUGGAACCGAAGUGAGUUCUCUCCUGAACCUUCACAGCAGAGGCUUGUUGGCAUAGACUGGGGUAGAGAGAGGAGUUCCGGAGUCAAGCUGCCCGCGCCCAACCCCCUUCCUUUCGUACUCCCAGCUGUGUGCCCUGGAUGUAACGUAACCUCGACAGGACAGAGCUGAGAGGCUUCUGGGAGAGGAGACAUCUGUACACGACCUGGGACGGGAAUCGAGACCCAGGAUGGGAAGGGGGUUGGAGCAGCUCUCAUAACUUACAGGAAUUCUUGGCCACGCCUCUGCAGCCCAAAGACUCUGUUUGCUCUCCAGUUCCUGCCUCCAGGCCGCAGCACCGGCCUUGCCCGCACUGGGGUGCCCUCCAUCCCUCCUGUGCCCUCACGGCCCCAUUACAAUGCAGGUCGAUACUGCCACCCCCGCCGAAGGUUUCCAAGCCAGCUCACCCACAGCCCAGAUUUAUCCUCUCUGUGGACACACACCUCCUUCCAUUCUUCACUUUUCUGUUACUGGUUUUGCAUGCUUCUUUGACUCAGUUAUCUCUGUUUAAAAUCUGUUUUUUUAUUCCUCAGUGACAUCAACCCCAAACACUCUACAUUCUACCAUAUGCUUUGCUGUGUGGUGUAGGGAAUAGAAAGGUGGGAGAUGUUCUGGGCUCACAAUCUAGAAGGUGAGACAGACCCAGGAGGCAGGCUGGGCCCACGAGAAGCCGCAGACUGACAAGCGGCAUGCAUGGGGAUGCGAGGAGACACAUUCUCAGGGGGCAAUGCUCUGGUGGCUCCUGCGGCCUGGCUGGCCUCUCCUGCUCUCUCGGGCGCUCACAGGGGUCGUUUCCACGGGGUUCUUCUACAGGACUUUAACGCCAGCAGCCACACCAUUGUGGUGUUAAGACCAUGGCGGGACAUUGCCAAUGAAACGUCCGCAAAACGGGGAGGAAGAUCAUGGAGGAGGCAGGGGCAGGGAGAAAAGUGGGAAGGCCAUUUAGCAGAAAAGCAAAAAUAUCUGUCAUUGAGAAUUUUGGAAUGUUUGUGCUGGAGGCAGAGAGGAGGAAAAUGUAAAAAGUCUGAAAAAAAAAAAAAGCCGCCGUCUGUCUGGGGCACCAGCACGCAGUCAUUCGAGACCACAGAGUGACACCUAGUGGACACCUGGGAAGAUGCUUCCUGCAGGGGAGCUCGGCGCCGCCCGCCCAAGUGGUUUCGUAGAGCUGGGGAUGCCGAGCGCAGGAAGGACCCGGGCCCGGUGCUCGCCGCUCGGAGCUGCCCCCGAUCCGCCCUGGGAGGACGCCCGGGGAGAGUGCUGUGCCGGGACUCCGGAGUCCAGUCCUGGCCCAGAUGCCAGCUGGGAGACCUCGCACGGGAAACUGUGUCUGUCGGGAAGCGGGGAGAGGCUCUUCCCUCGGCUCCACCGCUCUGGAUUCCCCCCUCUGCCAGCCCCCAGCCCCGCUCCGCACAGCCCCUGCCUCCGCUGUUCUGCCCGCCCUCCUUGGGGGACUGCGGUGAGCUCGGAGGACGGGCAAACUCCUGCGAGCAGAAGGCCCACCUUUCAAGUUUUCAUAUUACCUCCAACGCAAGGCUGAAUCCGAUCACCGAUGCCAAGCUACGGGCACAGUGCUUUGCUGGCGGUGAGCGCUCUAAGAAAGCUCUGUCGGAGGAAAGAGUCCUGGAUCUUGAGUCAGGAUUCCAGCCCCGUGUAAACACAAGCACCUCGGGAACUGGAGCCGAGGAGUUCUUCUAGAAAGUUCUAGACUGUUCCUUAGUCAAAAUUAGCCCCUUUACAAUUUUACCCCAUUUGUCCUUGUUCAGCCUUCUGAAGCGGUUCAGAAUAACUAUUUUUAUGCGACGCCUGCAAACACCUUUUAUGCUCCCUGUAAAUAUUGCCAUUUUGGGCUAAAUGUGCUCAACUUCAUUCUUUACAGCAGUGGUUCUCAAACAAGGAUUUUGCCCCUGAGGGCACAUGUGGCAGUGUCUGGAGACCUUUCGGUUGUCACACCUUGAGGAGGGAGGCUGCUACUGACAUCUAGUGGGCAGAGGCCUAGAUGCAGCCAACCUCCUGCAGGGCUCCCGGCGGGCCCCACCCCCACCACGCACACAAAGAACUAUCCAUUGCAGAAUGCACGCGUGCUGAGGUCGUGGAGCCCUGCUUGAGACAGCUGGGACUUCUUAGCAUCCCCGUCCAUUCUGCGGACGCUCUUCAUUCAUCGGCGACGUUUGUACCGCGAUGUGGUACAGAACUCCAGACCAGCUCUGACCAGCCUGGGCAUCUUGGGGUGUACACACGGGACGUCCCUCAGUGGAGCGUAGAGAUUAGAUCAACCCUCCAAGCAAUCUUUUGCUCAUAUGGCGAGUCUGUCCUUACUGUUUACGAACAAAGAACUUAUGGACAAACGUGCGUACAAUUAAAUAAAAGAUAUACAUUACCU